This 253-nucleotide ribosomal RNA is filed under the name uncultured bacterium. RNAcentral's name for it is "partial 16S ribosomal RNA". It matches the Rfam family "Bacterial small subunit ribosomal RNA", at positions 524 to 776 of the family's 1533-position model. The record is from RNAcentral.
UACGUAGGGGGCUAGCGUUGUCCGGAAUCAUUGGGCGUAAAGAGCGUGUAGGCGGCCCGGUAAGUCCGCUGUGAAAGUCGGGGGCUCAACCCUCGAAUGCCGGUGGAUACUGUCGGGCUAGGGUGCGGAAGAGGCGAGUGGAAUUCCUGGUGUAGCGGUGAAAUGCGCAGAUAUCAGGAGGAACACCGAUUGCGAAGGCAGCUCGCUGGGACGUAACUGACGCUGAGACGCGAAAGCGUGGGGAGCAAACAGG